RNAcentral lists this long non-coding RNA (1016 nucleotides) under Neodiprion pinetum (white pine sawfly). RNAcentral describes it as "uncharacterized LOC124214620". Lineage: Eukaryota; Metazoa; Arthropoda; Insecta; Hymenoptera; Diprionidae. The record is from RNAcentral.
GUCAAGACUGAGAAUGCCACUUCACUUUGCAUUCGAACCUAUAACAACAUUUAUUUAUUUAGAGUGUCAAGUUUCAAUGUAGUGAUAAGCAUUUCUUCUAGAUAAAAUUUAAAUUUAUAAUUAGUAUGUAAUGUUGGCGAAGUGAAGUUGUCAAUUUUUCAAUGAAAUGAAAAUACCUGAUUCAGCUCUGCUGUUUUCGUACAUUGGUUGCAGCUAUACUUUGGAGCCAUACCCAUCCCUUCAGGAAAGAAGCAGCUAAGUUACCAUCUUAGAAGACUUAAAGUCGUACUAUUACAGCUCUUAUUUGCACUGCCGGAGGUUGUGCUAUUCGAAGGCAGUACGUACAGUCUGGAUGUGGUUUGGCAUAAUGGAGCUCCUGGGAUUCUAUCUAUGAGAAAGGUUCAAAAAUUAAAUAGCUAAUUCAUUUUGUCGGUCGGCAGAUUAUGAGAGCACUUUCUCGUCGUACCACCGUUAUGAUGAUCAAAAUUUUAACUUUGGAUGCCCUGGAGAGCCUUAGAGCUCCCAAACAGUGUCAAAAUUAAUACAGCUAAAAUUCAGUUCAACACUGAAACAGGAAUAAUUAUAUUUUACCUCUGACGCAGACACUUUUGCAUUCAAAUCUGAUACUGUUGGCAAGUCAACAGAUGCUGGUGAGCACGAGGAACUGCUGCAGUAUUUUUUCAGAGCUAUAGUAUAUUCACUGUCAUCCUGCUCCGUAGCAAUCGGUUUACUUUGAAAUUUUAAAUUUGGGGGGUGAGCUAUAGAUGUUUUUGGCUUGUUCUCACUUUCAAAAUGCAAUGCUGUUCGACUCCUUUUGGCUGGCGGUGAGCUACUUCUCGAAUAAUUGAUUGCGUCAUCUCCAUCCGCAUUUGACCAGCAACCUUGCUGCGCCUUCGGCUUCUAAUUCGAUUAUCACAGCAGAGUCAAGAGAUACAGUUUUAUUCAUUAGAUAAUUAUCGAGAUUGGUAUGACUAUGUUCAACUUGAAUAUCCUUCAACAUGGAGGAAGUAUCGUCA